AUCCGGCCUCAAAAUUUCCAAAAUUCGAACACAAAAGCCUAGAUCUAAAAAUCUUUAUCCAUAACAAACUUUUCACAUGCAAUUUCAAGCAAGAAACGCGCGGAAAUGGCUUAGAAAGGAAGGAGAAACGCGAUACCUCUGUUGUAGAACGGAGAAAAAAGAUAUUCGGAAAACUUCGAAUCUCUCCUCUUCUCUUUCGCGCGCGCGCUAUAGCCUCAGUUGGUGUUGUUUUUGCUCGAAAAUCCGGUACGAUUUUGGUGUUGAUGUGAUGAUUCGAAGUGGUUUUGAGUGAAUCCGGUUCGGAUUCGUUGAUUUGGUGAUGAUCGGAGUUGGUUUUGAGCAGAUCUGGUUCGGAUCUGUUGAUUUGGUGAUGAUUUGUUCUUGGUGUUCUUCCCUCUUUUCUGAGAUUUUUUGUGUUUGAUUCUGUUAGGAUGAGAGAGAAAAUGAAAUUCUGUUUGUGAGUUGGCACUGAUUUUUUUUUUAUUGAUCUGACACCUUUACUAUUUAUAGCCUGCCAUGUGUAUCUGAGAACCAAUGAAAAAAUGACAUCUGUUUUGGGACUGAUGUGGAUCGAAAAUCUGGACUAAAAUGCCCCUGGAACCUUUCUGCAAAAUAAAAAACUUGAAGGACUGGACAGCAAUUAAAAAUGGACUAAAAUGAAAUUUUUAAAAGUUUUGGAUCAAAACGUGAUUAAAAAUAAAAUUGGACUAAAAAGUAACGAAACGUAAAGCG
Molecule: long non-coding RNA, 732 nt
Filed under: Medicago truncatula (barrel medic)
Lineage: Eukaryota; Viridiplantae; Streptophyta; Magnoliopsida; Fabales; Fabaceae
Description: long non-coding RNA (MTRU_LNC007432)
Source: RNAcentral